RNAcentral lists this transfer RNA (73 nucleotides) under Gemmatimonadota bacterium. RNAcentral's name for it is "tRNA-Lys". It matches the Rfam family "tRNA". Rfam says of the family: Transfer RNA (tRNA) molecules are approximately 80 nucleotides in length. Their secondary structure includes four short double-helical elements and three loops (D, anti-codon, and T loops). The record is from RNAcentral. RNAcentral also lists the same sequence under 2 other names. Lineage: Bacteria; Pseudomonadati; Gemmatimonadota.
GCAUCCGUAGCUCAAUUGGCAGAGCAGGGGACUCUUAAUCCCAAGGUUGUAGGUUCGAUUCCUACCGGAUGCA